This 274-nucleotide ribosomal RNA is filed under the name uncultured bacterium. RNAcentral describes it as "partial 16S ribosomal RNA". It matches the Rfam family "Bacterial small subunit ribosomal RNA", at positions 523 to 796 of the family's 1533-position model. The record is from RNAcentral.
AUACGGGGGGUGCAAGCGUUAUUCGGAAUCACUGGGCGUAAAGGGCGCGCAGGCGGUUUGGUAAGUCAGAUGUGAAAGCCCGGGGCUCAACCCCGGAAGUGCAUUUGAUACUGCCUGACUUGAGUAUGGGAGAGGGAAGUGGAAUUCCUGGUGUAGGGGUGAAAUUCGUAGAUAUCAGGAGGAACACCGGUGGCGAAGGCGACUUCCUGGACCAAUACUGACGCUGAGGCGCGAAGGCGUGGGGAGCAAACAGGAUUAGAAACCCCAGUAGUCC